UAGUCAGGUUUUGAUUUAACCUCAACAGUGAAAGAGUAGAGUAGAAAAGCCUGCUCCUGCUCCUGCUCCUGUGAAGGAAUCGAAGGAAGCAAUGGUAGAGAAGACGGUAGAUAAGAGUGUUGAAGAAGAAGAAGGUGACCAAAUAGUCAAUCCAUGGGAAGUUUCCGCAAAAGACGGAACCAAAAUCGAUUACGACAAACUAAUCGACAAAUUCGGCUGCCAAAGACUCGACCAAACCCUAAUCGACCGCGUCCAUACCCUAACCGGCCGUCCUCCUCAUGUCUUCCUCCGCCGCGGCGUCUUCUUCGCCCACCGCGAUUUCAACGAAAUCCUUGACGCUUUCGAGAGAGGACACAAAUUCUACCUCUACACUGGCCGCGGUCCUUCCUCCGAAUCACUGCAUUUAGGUCAUCUCAUUCCCUUUAUGUUUACUAAGUAUUUGCAGGAGGCUUUUAGAGUUCCGCUUGUAAUCCAGCUAACCGAUGAUGAGAAGAGCAUGUGGAAAAACCUUUCCAUUGAGGAGAGCAAACGAUUAGCCAGAGAAAAUGCUAGAGAUAUUAUUGCUUGUGGUUUUGAUGUUACUCGAACUUUCAUUUUCCAAGAUUUUAACUAUGUUGCCGGUUCAUUUUACGAGAACAUGGUGAAGGUUCAGAAGUGUGUUACAUAUAAUAAGGUUGUCGGUAUAUUUGGUUUCACCGGCGAAGAUCAUAUUGGAAAAGUUAGCUUCCCAGCCGUACAGGCCGUUCCAUCUUUUCCUAGUUCGUUUCCACACUUAUUCUCUGGGAAAGAUGACCUUCGUUGCUUAGUACCGUGUGCAAUUGACCAGGAUCCAUAUUUCAGAAUGACUCGAGAUGUUGCUCCUCGGAUAGGAUAUCACAAGCCUGCAUUGAUUGAAUCAUUAUUCUUCCCUGCACUACAGGGGGAGACCAAGAAAAUGUCAGCAAGUGAUGCAAAUUCAGCUGUAUAUGUGACUGAUUCAGCAAAGGAAAUCAAGAACAAGAUAAACAAGUAUGCAUUCUCUGGCGGGCAAGAUUCUUUAGAGAAACAAAGACAAUUUGGAGCGAAUAUCGAGGUAGAUAUAUCGAUCAAAUAUUUAAAUUUUUUCCUAGAGGAUGACGAUGAGCUUGAACACAUUAAAAAGGAGUAUGCUGCGGGACGCAUGCUAACAGGAGAGGUGAAAAAUCGCCUUGCUGAGGUUUUGACUGAAAUUGUUAAAAGACAUAAUUUGGCUCGGUCUGCUGUGACUGAUGAAAUGGUGGAUGCUUUUAUGGCCGUCCGGCCUCUUCCCAGUAUGUUCCAUUAAGGUUAAAGUGGAUAAGUGUAAGCUUUUAGAUGUAAGGCUUCAAUGUUGCGUUUUUCGAUUUAAGGCUCGAAUAUUGCUUCAAAAUUUUGGUAGCCGCAACGCUCACUAUUCCUCAUUGUAUGGACUGAAGUCGGUCAUCUUGCUGCUGGUCCGUUUUUGUGGUUUUCCAGUAGAGGCAUGGGUUUGAAAAACUCAUGAAAUUUCCUUGAGAAAAAAAAACACUGGCACAUUUGGAUUGGUAGAUUUUAGUCAAAAUUUGUGGAUUUAAUCGAAAUACAUUUUUAUUAGAAAAAACAUAUCUUAACAAUUGAUAUAUUUUGAAAAUAUUCCAUCUUCCAAUAUUAUCAUCUGAAAUUUCACCCUCUAA
Mercurialis annua (annual mercury) is the source of this 1670-nucleotide RNA transcript. It is a transcript of the gene named tryptophan--tRNA ligase, cytoplasmic, with no coding region annotated. The transcript is spliced from 12 exons. The record is from RefSeq and is a predicted model, not a curated record. NCBI's taxonomy places the organism in Eukaryota, Viridiplantae, Streptophyta, Magnoliopsida, Malpighiales, Euphorbiaceae.